GAUGAACGCUGGCGGCGUGCCUAAUACAUGCAAGUCGAGCGAACAGACGAGGAGCUUGCUCCUCUGACGUUAGCGGCGGACGGGUGAGUAACACGUGGAUAACCUACCUAUAAGACUGGGAUAACUUCGGGAAACCGGAGCUAAUACCGGAUAACAUGUUGAACCGCAUGGUUCAACAGUGAAAGACGGUCUUGCUGUCACUUAUAGAUGGAUCCGCGCCGCAUUAGCUAGUUGGUAAGGUAACGGCUUACCAAGGCAACGAUGCGUAGCCGACCUGAGAGGGUGAUCGGCCACACUGGAACUGAGACACGGUCCAGACUCCUACGGGAGGCAGCAGUAGGGAAUCUUCCGCAAUGUGCGAAAGCCUGACGGAGCAACGCCGCGUGAGUGAAGAAGGUCUUCGGAUCGUAAAACUCUGUUAUUAGGGAAGAACAAAUGUGUAAGUAACUAUGCACGUCUUGACGGUACCUAAUCAGAAAGCCACGGCUAACUACGUG
RNAcentral lists this ribosomal RNA (497 nucleotides) under uncultured bacterium. Its description in RNAcentral is "partial 16S ribosomal RNA". It matches the Rfam family "Bacterial small subunit ribosomal RNA", at positions 28 to 507 of the family's 1533-position model. The record is from RNAcentral.